GACCUGAGAGGGUGAUCGGCCACACUGGGACUGAGACACGGCCCAGACUCCUACGGGAGGCAGCAGUAGGGAAUCUUCCGCAAUGGACGAAAGUCUGACGGAGCAACGCCGCGUGAGUGAUGAAGGUUUUCGGAUCGUAAAGCUCUGUUGCCAGGGAAGAACGCCUAGGAGAGUAACUGCUCUUAGGGUGACGGUACCUGAGAAGAAAGCCCCGGCUAACUACGUGCCAGCAGCCGCGGUAAUACGUAGGGGGCGAGCGUUGUCCGGAAUUAUUGGGCGUAAAGCGCGCGCAGGCGGCAAUGUAAGUUGGGUGUUUAAACCUAGGGCUCAACCUUGGGUCGCAUCCAAAACUGC
RNAcentral lists this ribosomal RNA (354 nucleotides) under bacterium LimA-1-J-6. RNAcentral describes it as "bacterial SSU rRNA". It matches the Rfam family "Bacterial small subunit ribosomal RNA", at positions 289 to 636 of the family's 1533-position model. The record is from RNAcentral. RNAcentral also lists the same sequence under 1 other name.